GUUAGGAAUAUUGGACAAUGGGCGAAAGCCUGAUCCAGCCAUGCCGCGUGAACGAUGAAGGCCUUCGGGUUGUAAAGUUCUUUAGCCGAUGAUUAUAAUGACUGUAGUCGGAAAAUAAGCCCCGGCUAACUUCGUGCCAGCAGCCGCGGUAAUACGAAGGGGGCGAGCGUUAUUCGGAAUCACUGGGCGUAAAGCGUGCGUAGGCGGUCUCGUAAGUUAGGAGUGAAAGCCCAGGGCUCAACCUUGGAAUUGCUCUUAAAACUGCAAGGCUAGAAUCUCGGAGAGGAUAGCGGAAUUUCCAGUGUAGCAGUGAAAUGCGUAGAUAUUGGAAGGAACACCAGUGGCGUAAGCGGCUAUCUGGACGAGUAUUGACGCUGAGGCACGAAAGCGUGGGGAUCAAACAGGAUUAGAAACCCUUGUAGUCC
This 425-nucleotide ribosomal RNA is filed under the name uncultured bacterium. RNAcentral's name for it is "partial 16S ribosomal RNA". It matches the Rfam family "Bacterial small subunit ribosomal RNA", at positions 354 to 796 of the family's 1533-position model. The record is from RNAcentral.